GACGAACGCUGGCGGCGUGCUUAACACAUGCAAGUCGAACGGAAAGGCCCUGCUUUUGUGGGGUGCUCGAGUGGCGAACGGGUGAGUAACACGUGAGUAACCUGCCCUUGACUUUGGGAUAACUUCAGGAAACUGGGGCUAAUACCGGAUAGGAGCUCCUGCUGCAUGGUGGGGGUUGGAAAGUUUCGGCGGUUGGGGAUGGACUCGCGGCUUAUCAGCUUGUUGGUGGGGUAGUGGCUUACCAAGGCUUUGACGGGUAGCCGGCCUGAGAGGGUGACCGGCCACAUUAGGACUGAGAUACGGCCCAGACUCCUACGGGAGGCAGCAGUGGCGAAUAUUGCACAAUGGGCGGAAGCCUGAUGCAGCAACGCCGCGUGCGGGAUGACGGCCUUCGGGUUGUAAACCGCUUUCGCCUGUGACGAAGCGUGAGUGACGGUAAUGGGUAAAGAAGCACCGGCUAACUACGUG
Molecule: ribosomal RNA, 468 nt
Filed under: uncultured bacterium
Lineage: Bacteria
Description: partial 16S ribosomal RNA
Rfam family: Bacterial small subunit ribosomal RNA
Source: RNAcentral